RNAcentral lists this ribosomal RNA (373 nucleotides) under uncultured bacterium. RNAcentral's name for it is "bacterial SSU rRNA". It matches the Rfam family "Bacterial small subunit ribosomal RNA", at positions 521 to 896 of the family's 1533-position model. The record is from RNAcentral.
UAAUACGGAGGGUGCAAGCGUUAUCCGGAUUCACUGGGUUUAAAGGGUGCGUAGGUGGGUCUGUAAGUCCGUGGUGAAAUCUCCAAGCUUAACUUGGAAACUGCCAUGGAUACUAUAGGUCUUGAAUACCGUGGAGGUGAGCGGAAUAUGUCAUGUAGCGGUGAAAUGCUUAGAUAUGACAUAGAACACCAAUUGCGAAGGCAGCUCACUACACGAAUAUUGACACUGAGGCACGAAAGCGUGGGGAUCAAACAGGAUUAGAUACCCUGGUAGUCCACGCCCUAAACUAUGGAUACUCGACAUACGCGAUACACAGUGUGUGUCUGAGCGAAAGCAUUAAGUAUCCCACCUGGGAAGUACGAUCGCAAGAUUG